Molecule: ribosomal RNA, 440 nt
Filed under: uncultured bacterium
Lineage: Bacteria
Description: bacterial SSU rRNA
Rfam family: Bacterial small subunit ribosomal RNA
Source: RNAcentral
GAUGAACGCUGGCGGCGUGCUUAACACAUGCAAGUCGAACGAAGCACUUUAUUUGAUUUCCUUCGGGAUUGAUUAUUUUGUGACUGAGUGGCGGACGGGUGAGUAACGCGUGGGUAACCUGCCUUGUACAGGGGGAUAACAGUUGGAAACGGCUGCUAAUACCGCAUAAGCGCACAGCAUCGCAUGAUGCAGUGUGAAAAACUCCGGUGGUAUAAGAUGGACCCGCGUUGGAUUAGCUAGUUGGUGAGGUAACGGCCCACCAAGGCGACGAUCCAUAGCCGACCUGAGAGGGUGACCGGCCACAUUGGGACUGAGACACGGCCCAAACUCCUACGGGAGGCAGCAGUGGGGAAUAUUGCACAAUGGGCGAAAGCCUGAUGCAGCGACGCCGCGUGAGCGAAGAAGUAUUUCGGUAUGUAAAGCUCUAUCAGCAGGGAAGA